Molecule: ribosomal RNA, 494 nt
Filed under: uncultured bacterium
Lineage: Bacteria
Description: bacterial SSU rRNA
Rfam family: Bacterial small subunit ribosomal RNA
Source: RNAcentral
CAGGACGAACGCUGGCGGCGUGCCUAACACAUGCAAGUCGAACGAAGCUCCUGCGUUGAUCUUCGGAUGAAACAAGGGAAGACUUAGUGGCGGACGGGUGAGUAACGCGUGAGCAACCUGCCUUUCAGAGGGGGAUAACAGUUGGAAACGACUGCUAAUACCGCAUAACGUAUUGAUGUCGCAUGGCAUUGAUACCAAAGCUGAGGCGCUGAGAGAUGGGCUCGCGUCCGAUUAGAUAGUUGGUGGGGUAACGGCCUACCAAGUCGACGAUCGGUAGCCGGACUGAGAGGUUGAACGGCCACAUUGGGACUGAGACACGGCCCAGACUCCUACGGGAGGCAGCAGUGGGGGAUAUUGCACAAUGGGCGAAAGCCUGAUGCAGCAACGCCGCGUGAGGGAAGACGGUUUUCGGAUUGUAAACCUCUGUCUUUGGUGAAGAAGGAAGUGACGGUAGCCAAGGAGGAAGCCACGGCUAACUACGUGCCAGCAGCUGC